Molecule: microRNA precursor, 91 nt
Filed under: Branchiostoma floridae (Florida lancelet)
Lineage: Eukaryota; Metazoa; Chordata; Leptocardii; Amphioxiformes; Branchiostomatidae
Description: mir-2060 microRNA precursor family
Rfam family: mir-2060 microRNA precursor family
Source: Rfam by way of RNAcentral
UGUAUUUUGCCUAUGGAUGGCGUUCAGCACCAAAGACAGACAUGUUUCGUGUGUGAGUGGUGUUCAGCACCAAGGACAGGUUUGUUUUUUA